UCUGAUAUCCUGAACACGGGAUUACGUUUCGGCCGUAAUUGUGAGCAAUGUUGUUGUUCUAUCAGAG
Molecule: transfer RNA, 67 nt
Filed under: Paragonimus heterotremus
Lineage: Eukaryota; Metazoa; Platyhelminthes; Trematoda; Plagiorchiida; Troglotrematidae
Description: tRNA-Arg
Source: RNAcentral